Podarcis lilfordi (Lilford's wall lizard) is the source of this 75-nucleotide non-coding RNA. The record is from the annotation of a GenBank genome assembly. NCBI's taxonomy places the organism in Eukaryota, Metazoa, Chordata, Lepidosauria, Squamata, Lacertidae.
GGAGUGGCUGUAGUUCAUUGGUAGAGCAUCUGUUUUGCAUGCAGAAGGUCACAGGUUCAAUCCCCAGCAUCUCCA